GAUGAAGAACGUAGCGAAAUGCGAUAAGUAAUGUGAAUUGCAGAAUUCAGUGAAUCAUCGAAUCUUUGAACGCACCUUGCGCUCCUUGGUAUUCCGAGGAGCAUGCCUGUUUGAGUGUCAUGAAAUUCUCAACCUUUUCAGCUUUCUUUGUUGAUCAGGCUUGGAUGUGGGAGUGUGCGGGCUUCUCAGAAGUCGGCUCUCCUGAAAUGCAUUAGCGGGACCUUUGUUGCCUGGCUUUGGUGUGAUAAUUAUCUACGCCAUUGUAGUCAAGCAGCUUAAAAUGAGGUUUCAGCUUCUAACCGUCUCCCCUGAGACAACUUUUUGACAAUUUGACCUCAAAUCAGGUAGGACUACCCGCUGAACUUAAGCAUAUCAAUAAGCGGAGGA
RNAcentral lists this unclassified non-coding RNA (387 nucleotides) under soil metagenome. RNAcentral's name for it is "partial contains 5.8S ribosomal RNA, internal transcribed spacer 2, and large subunit ribosomal RNA". The stretch from base 1 to 120 matches the Rfam family "5.8S ribosomal RNA", at positions 35 to 154 of the family's 154-position model. The record is from RNAcentral.